AAGAAGAGUUCACUGUUUCUUCAGACGAAGAGCAGGACUCCGACGAUGAACGUUUGUAUUUUGAAGAGCGACUUGAUCCAGCUGAGGAUAUAAUUUCUGAAGAGAAUGUGGCAGCAUCACUCUCCUCUUCAGCGGGCAUUUGCAGAAAUGCGACGGACAUUCAUACAGGGAAUGUGUCUGCAACACCAACUUCGUCUGGUACUCGCACGUUUUGAACAAUGGCAUGACAACAUUUAACUCCAUUCCCAAAGAGUUACAGUGUGUGAUGGUUUACAAAUGUAUACCUUAUUUUUUAUAUUUGGAAGUAUUUUUAGAUGCACACCAAACUUUCACAGCUGACAUUUAGAAUCAUUUUCUUUUAAUUAGAGCCAUAUUGUACUGGUCAUAUAGAAUAUUGUUACAUGUAUACAUAUUGUUACUUUAUUAUUUAUAAUUACAAUUAAGCUUCUUUGUUUAUAAUUACAAUAAAGCUUCUUAAAUCUAUUGUAUUGUUCAUGUUGUUAGCAUUUUUUGCAACCCUGUAAGACUUUUAUUUUACUAAAAAGGCCUUUUGUACUUUAUUUUAACCUA
This is a non-coding RNA of Misgurnus anguillicaudatus (oriental weatherfish), 570 nucleotides long. The record is from RefSeq and is a predicted model, not a curated record. NCBI's taxonomy places the organism in Eukaryota, Metazoa, Chordata, Actinopteri, Cypriniformes, Cobitidae.